GUGUUUCUGACACUUAAGUAAUAAACCAUCUCUUUUAUAGUUCAGUGCAAUUUUUUGUAUUGUUGUAGCCUGUUUGCUGGGGCCCAGGAGAAUAAUUAAACUGAUGCAGUGUUUUGUCUUGUCCUUUCUCCUAUAAGGACGGUGUGGCAGACCUCUAGCUCAAUGCUAGGAGACGAAUUGGGAACAAUCAUGUGAAGUGAAACCUCCUGCAACCUUUCCCUUUUGGUACCUUGUUAUGUCUGCGACACAUCUCUAAUCCGAAGCUAGGUGUGGUGACGAGCUCUACAGCAGACUUGCGCAACUCAAUCGCUGGCUGAAAAUGGAGUUCUGCCCGUCGCAGGAG
This is a long non-coding RNA of Esox lucius (northern pike), 343 nucleotides long. The record is from Ensembl. Lineage: Eukaryota; Metazoa; Chordata; Actinopteri; Esociformes; Esocidae.